GACGAACGCUGGCGGCGUGCUUAACACAUGCAAGUCGAACGGAAAGGCCCUGCUUGCAGGGUGCUCGCGUGGCGAACGGGUGAGUAACACGUGGGUGAUCUGCCCCUUACUUUGGGAUAAGCCUGGGAAACUGGGUCUAAUACUGGAUAGGACCAUGCUGUAGGUGGUGUGGUGGAAAGAUUAGUUUCGGUAAGGGAUGAGCUCGCGGCCUAUCAGCUUGUUGGUGGGGUAAUGGCCUACCAAGGCGUCGACGGGUAGCCGGCCUGAGAGGGUGGACGGCCACAUUGGGACUGAGAUGCGGCCCAGAAUCCUACGGGAGGCAGCAGUGGGGAAUAUUGCACAAUGGGCGCAAGCCUGAUGCAGCGACGCCGCGUGGGGGAUGACGGCCGUCGGGUUGUAAACUCCUUUCAGCCAUGACGAAGCCCUUGUGGUGACGGUAGUGGUAGAAGAAGCACCGGCUAACUACGUG
Molecule: ribosomal RNA, 469 nt
Filed under: uncultured bacterium
Lineage: Bacteria
Description: partial 16S ribosomal RNA
Rfam family: Bacterial small subunit ribosomal RNA
Source: RNAcentral